RNAcentral lists this long non-coding RNA (203 nucleotides) under Homo sapiens (human). RNAcentral's name for it is "HSALNT0170001". The record is from RNAcentral. Lineage: Eukaryota; Metazoa; Chordata; Mammalia; Primates; Hominidae.
GUCCUCUGGCUCUAGAGUCUGUGCCUGUAGCUUCCAGUCUAUGCAUCAGCUCAAACAGCACUUGGCUUCAGUACCAGGUACAGGUUGACCAAAAGGCAGUGCCAGAAAACAACUCUACACCCUCAAAGUCAUGAGGCUGAGCCUUCCACAGUGCACCUCUGUUUGAUACCCAGUGCCACCUCUAACAGAAAAUUAUAAUAAUA